CAUCAGAAAGACAAGAACAGCAAGAUGGUGUCACAGAUCCAGGUCCUCAUGGCCCUGCUGUUCUGGGUGUCCGGUACCUGUGGGGACAUCAUUAUGACCCAAUCUCCUCGCUCUCUGUCAGUGUCAGCAGGACAGAGGGCCACUAUGAACUGCAAAUCCAGUCAGAGUAUUUCAUCUGGUGCUUCCCACUACUUGGCUUGGUACCAGCAGAAACCAGGACAGGCUCCCAAACUGCUGAUCUACUGGGCAUCCACAUGGGAAUCUGGGGUCCCUGAUCGCUUCGUAGGCAGUGGGUCUGGGACAGAUUUCACUCUGACCAUCAGCAGUGUCCAGCCUGAAGAUCUGGCAGAUUAUUACUGUCAGCAGUAUUAUAGUUCUCCUCCCACAGUGCUUCACACUUGGACAAAAACCCCCACUUAG
Non-coding RNA from Nannospalax galili (Upper Galilee mountains blind mole rat), 420 nucleotides. Lineage: Eukaryota; Metazoa; Chordata; Mammalia; Rodentia; Spalacidae. The record is from the annotation of a RefSeq genome assembly.